CCUUAAAAUACCUACUUAUUACUUCAAUAGAUCUUUUAAAAAUCGGUUGAAGAGCUCGAAACCUUGUGUUGUGGCCAACUACCAGGAGAAACAUGGCUACUUGUUCCUCAAUGGAAGUAUGAAUACUAUCUUUCAAUAAUUCUCUCUCUCUAAACAAAUUGCACAAGCGAAAAAAGGGAGCUCUUUUCAUUCUUAGCUGAUUUGAGCAAUUUGUGUCGGUAGAAUGAUAGAUAUAUCUCAAGUUAGAUUCCCUAGCUAUAUCCAUAUCAAUCCUACGAUCUAAUAACAUCGGAGUUUGGUUUCUAGCUCUCCUUGAGAUAAAA
This 323-nucleotide long non-coding RNA is filed under the name Brachypodium distachyon (stiff brome). RNAcentral's name for it is "long non-coding RNA (BDIS_LNC000326)". The record is from RNAcentral. Lineage: Eukaryota; Viridiplantae; Streptophyta; Magnoliopsida; Poales; Poaceae.